RNAcentral lists this long non-coding RNA (260 nucleotides) under Homo sapiens (human). RNAcentral's name for it is "HSALNT0059570". The record is from RNAcentral. Lineage: Eukaryota; Metazoa; Chordata; Mammalia; Primates; Hominidae.
CUUGCACAGGGUGAAAGCUUUGCUUCUCUGCUGCUGUAACAGGGACUAGCACAGACACACGGAUGAGUGGGGUCAUUUCCAGAUAUUAGGUCACAGCAGAAGCAGCCAAAAUGGAUCCCCAGUGGAAGGGAAACACACAGCGGAAAAGCGGUGUGAAGACACAGGGCGAAGACGGCCAUCCACAUACAAGCCAGAGAGAAAGGCUCGCAACAGAUUCUUUCCUCACAACCUUCAGAAAGAACCAACCCUGUGGAAACCCU